AUACGGAGGGUGCAAGCGUUAUUCGGAAUCACUGGGCGUAAAGGGUGCGUAGGCGGUUUGAUAAGUCUGAUGUGAAAUCCUAUGGCUCAACCAUAGAACUGCAUUGGAAACUGUCAGACUAGAAUACUGAAGGGGCAGAUGGAAUUAGUGGUGUAGGGGUAAAAUCCGUAGAUAUCACUAGGAAUACCGAAAGCGAAAGCGAUCUGCUGGGAAGUUAUUGACGCUGAGGCACGAAAGCGUGCGGAGCAAACGGGAUUAGAAACCCGAGUAGUCC
Molecule: ribosomal RNA, 274 nt
Filed under: uncultured bacterium
Lineage: Bacteria
Description: partial 16S ribosomal RNA
Rfam family: Bacterial small subunit ribosomal RNA
Source: RNAcentral